UACAGAGGUCUCAAGCGUUGUUCGGAUUCAUUGGGCGUAAAGCGUCCGCAGGUGGCACUUCAAGCCUGUCGUCAAAGACUGGGGCUUAACCCUGGAAAGGCGGUGGAAACUGAAGCGCUAGAGUGCGGUAGGGGUAGAGGGAAUUCCCGGUGUAGCGGUGAAAUGCGUAGAUAUCUGGAGGAAUACCGGUGGCGAAGGCGGCAUCCUGGACCGACAUUGACGCUGAGGAGCGAAAGCUAGGGGAGCAAACGGG
This 253-nucleotide ribosomal RNA is filed under the name uncultured bacterium. RNAcentral's name for it is "partial 16S ribosomal RNA". It matches the Rfam family "Bacterial small subunit ribosomal RNA", at positions 524 to 776 of the family's 1533-position model. The record is from RNAcentral.